Molecule: transfer RNA, 72 nt
Organism: Ovis aries (sheep)
Lineage: Eukaryota; Metazoa; Chordata; Mammalia; Artiodactyla; Bovidae
Rfam family: tRNA
About the family: Transfer RNA (tRNA) molecules are approximately 80 nucleotides in length. Their secondary structure includes four short double-helical elements and three loops (D, anti-codon, and T loops). Further hydrogen bonds mediate the characteristic L-shaped molecular structure. tRNAs have two regions of fundamental functional importance: the anti-codon, which is responsible for specific mRNA codon recognition, and the 3' end, to which the tRNAs corresponding amino acid is attached (by aminoacyl-tRNA synthetases). tRNAs cope with the degeneracy of the genetic code in two manners: having more than one tRNA (with a specific anti-codon) for a particular amino acid; and 'wobble' base-pairing, i.e. permitting non-standard base-pairing at the 3rd anti-codon position.
Source: Rfam
UCCCAGAUAGCUCAAUUGGUAAAGAACCUACCUGCAAUGCAGGAGACCCUGGUUCAAUUCCUGGGUUGGGAA